CCCUACUGCUAUCGGGAUGGGACUAAGACAUGCUAGUCGUGCGCCUCCAAGCCAUGGUGGAGGCGCGGCGCACAGCUCAGUAACACGUGGUUAACCUGCCCUUGGGACGGAAACACCCCCGGGAAACUGGGGCUAAUUUCCGAUAGGCGAAGGCUCCUGGAAUGGAUCUUCGCCUAAAGAGCGCUUAGGCCAUGCUUCUAGGCGCUGCCCAAGGAUGGGGCCGCGGCCGAUCAGGUUGUUGGUGAGGUAAUGGCUCACCAAGCCUUUAACCGGUUCGGGCCGUGGGAGCGGGAGCCCGGAGAUGGGCACUGAGACAAGGGCCCAGGCCCUACGGGCGCAGCAGUCGCGAAAACUCCGCAAUACGCGAAGGCGUGACGGGGCUAUCCCGAGUGCCGUCCGCUGAGGAUGGCUUUUCCCCAGUGUAGAUAGCUGGGGGAAUAAGGAGAGGGCAAGUCUGGUGUCAGCCGCCGCGGUAAUACCAGCUCUCCGAGUGGUGGGGACGUUUAUUGGGCCUGAAGCAUCCGUAGCCAGCUGAGCAAGUCCCCAGUUAAAUCCAGCGAUUUAAUCGUUGGACUGCUGGGGAUACUGUCCGGCUAGGGGGUGGGAGAGGCCGACGGUAUUCCCGGGGUAGGGGUGAAAUCCUAUAAUCCCGGGAGGACCACCAGUGGCGAAGGCUGUUGGCUAGAACAUGCCCGACGGUGAGGGAUGAAAGCUGGGGGAGCGAACCGGAUUAGAUACCCGGGUAGUCCCAGCUGUAAACGAUGCAGGCUAGGUGUUAGGGCGGCCACGUGCCGCUCUAGUGCCGCAGGGAAGCUGUUAAGCCUGCCGCCUGGGGAGUACGGCCGCAAGGCUGAAACUUAA
RNAcentral lists this ribosomal RNA (861 nucleotides) under uncultured archaeon Arc.43. RNAcentral's name for it is "bacterial SSU rRNA". It matches the Rfam family "Archaeal small subunit ribosomal RNA", at positions 21 to 859 of the family's 1478-position model. The record is from RNAcentral.